CCUACGGGUGGCAGCAGUGAGGAAUAUUGGUCAAUGGACGAGAGUCUGAACCAGCCAAGUAGCGUGAAGGAUGACUUCCCUAUGGGUUGUAAACUUCUUUUAUAUGGGAUUAAAAUGUUCCACGUGUGUGUUUUUGUAUUUACCAUAUGAAUAAUGAUCGGCUAACUCCGUACCAGCAUCCGCGGUAAUACGGAGGAUCCGAGCGUUAUCCGGAUUUAUUGGGUUUAAAGGGAGCGUAGGUGGAUUGUUAAGUCAGUUGUGAAAGUUUGCGGCUCAACCGUAAAAUUGCAGUUGAUACUGGCAGUCUUGAGUACAGUAGAGGUGGGCGGAAUGCGUGGUGUAGCGGUGAAAUGCUUAGAUAUCACGAAGAACUCCGAUUGCGAAGGCAGCUCACUGGACUGCAACUGACACUGAGGCUCGAAAGUGUGGGUAUCAAACAGGAUUAGAUACCCUUGUAGUC
Molecule: ribosomal RNA, 460 nt
Filed under: uncultured bacterium
Lineage: Bacteria
Description: partial 16S ribosomal RNA
Rfam family: Bacterial small subunit ribosomal RNA
Source: RNAcentral